AUCUACCUGACGUGUCUCAAAUAGGACGAAACGCGCGUCCUCGAU
RNAcentral lists this non-coding RNA (45 nucleotides) under Schistosoma mansoni. Lineage: Eukaryota; Metazoa; Platyhelminthes; Trematoda; Strigeidida; Schistosomatidae. The record is from RNAcentral.